Sphaerodactylus townsendi is the source of this 810-nucleotide long non-coding RNA. RefSeq lists it as uncharacterized. The transcript has 3 exons. NCBI's taxonomy places the organism in Eukaryota, Metazoa, Chordata, Lepidosauria, Squamata, Sphaerodactylidae. The record is from RefSeq and is a predicted model, not a curated record.
AACAUCUGGAGGGCCACGGACACCCGUGAUGGCUGCGUGGUGUGAGGUGUGGUCACUUCCUGCUAUUAAACGCUGAGGUGAAUCAGGCGGAGUUCGCAGUGCAUCGCCUUGGAGUUCAAGCAGCAAACUCGUCUUCUAAGGGUGGAGUUGAAGGGAUCAUUUUGCAAGGUCCACGAAGACAGCAUGGGCAGUAGUCUGUCCAAAGAUAAACGCUCCAAGAGUAACCAUGAAGAUUCCAUAGCUGACCAAGGCCCACCAGCUGUGGAAACAGGAAGACAGGAUCAGGCACCAUGUCAGGGAGAGGGACUGCCAGGUUAUUAAGAGGAAAAGGAAAUGGAGGCGAUGCUCUAAGAAGAAUUCCUCUUCUUGUUGGAGGAAGCUGACAAGUUUUGUUCUCCCUUCUAUUUGGGAAUUUCCCUUACCAACUAGCUAUCUCCAUGUUUUAAUCGAGGCCAGAUUGCGCCGAGCCUUGAACUGGCCAGAUGUAAUGUGUUACCCUCUGCUCUUAGACAGGGGAGCGUCUUGGGAAUUGCCCAUCAUGAGAGAACGUGUUCCUGUGGAACUGGGGGUGAAGAGUUCUUCAUGUUCUACUGUAUUGCCCCCUUUACAUCAGGCCUAGGAGCAAAUAUUUAGAACCCUUACUGAUGGGUCUUGAAGAUUCCUUUUGAAUGGUGAUUGCAAGGAGAUUCUGGAGCCGGUAGGAAAAAUUUUAUGUGUUGUCAUUGACAAACGUGCAUAAAGGGGUUGAUUGUAUGCUGCUAUAGUGUUAUUAUGCCAACAAAGGUUAAUUGAAUUGAAAUGGAGGUGAUA